ACGGAAGGCAGCAGUGAGGAAUAUUGGUCAAUGGGCGGAAGCCUGAACCAGCCAAGUCGCGUGAAGGAUGAAGGUAUUAUGUAUUGUAAACUUCUUUAGCUGUGGAGCAAUAAUCGCCAUGCAUGGCGAGAUGAGAGUACACAGAGAAUAAGGAUCGGCUAACUCCGUGCCAGCAGCCGCGGUAAUACGGAGGAUCCGAGCGUUAUCCGGAUUUAUUGGGUUUAAAGGGUGCGCAGGCGGCGUGCUAAGUCAGCGGUUAAAUAGUGAGGCUCAACCUCAUCCCGCCGUUGAUACUGGCAUGCUUGAUUGCGGUCGAGGUUGGCGGAAUUCGCCGUGUAGCGGUGAAAUGCAUAGAUAUGGCGAAGAACUCCGAUUGCGUAGGCAGCUGACCAGGCCGUAAAUGACGCUCAUGCACGAAAGUGCGGGGAUCGAACAGGAUUAGAUACCCUGGUA
Molecule: ribosomal RNA, 453 nt
Filed under: uncultured Porphyromonadaceae bacterium
Lineage: Bacteria; Pseudomonadati; Bacteroidota; Bacteroidia; Bacteroidales; Porphyromonadaceae
Description: partial 16S ribosomal RNA
Rfam family: Bacterial small subunit ribosomal RNA
Source: RNAcentral